UGGUUCAAUAUACCCAAUCACACGUCCAUAUUGUCCUCGCCCUCCAGAUUGCUUCUUAUGUAAAUAAUCCAAAUCAGCAUGCUGAGUAACAGUUUCUCUGAAGUUUACACGGGGCUUUCCAACUGCAUCAACCUUGUAUUCCCUCACACUGCGUUCAUCAUAGAUAUCUAAGUGUGGUUCUCCCAUUCCAGAAAUGAUUGUCUGCCCAUUCCCUGGGUCCAAGCCAACACGGAAUGUAGGGUCCUCUCUUUGGAAGCGGUUCAAAGCUUUCGAAAAUUGCUCUCCAGAAUCUUUUGAGACAGGUUGUACAGCUAAAGACAUCGCAGGUUUAGGUACAUCAUAGAAGUCAUUGUGUAUUUAACCGACCCAUCAGUAAAAGUAUCUCCUUGGCUUGCUGUUUGUAUUAAUGUGGAGCUUCUGCGGUUUUUGCAGGUUGCAGUUUUGGGUUUAUGUUAUACACGUUUGGAUUUGGCUUGCAGCAGGUACUAGACUUAUAGCAGGCGGCGACAACAGAAACAAACCAUGUAUUCAAUGGCAUUUCCCUGGCGCACAUGGACUCUUGUUCACACUGACGGCACGGUACUGCUGGCUCUUGGAUUUGCAGGUCAGAGUAUGGUGCUGGAGGAUACCCCUGCGGUUCCUAAACGGUCUGUGGAAGCAUAAUGCAGGGAAGGGCAUGGGCGACUGUCAUGACAGGA
Molecule: long non-coding RNA, 698 nt
Filed under: Lathyrus oleraceus (garden pea)
Lineage: Eukaryota; Viridiplantae; Streptophyta; Magnoliopsida; Fabales; Fabaceae
Description: Pisum sativum (pea) long non-coding RNA (PSAT_LNC000989)
Source: RNAcentral